ACUUCAGAUAAGUUAUUAUAAAUGCAUGUAGAGCUGCAUGGUAAUAAAAAAUAAAUUAACAGUUUCAGAAGCAGUUAGCUGGAGAUUAGAAACACCAACAUCUUCUUCUAGACAGUGUCUCUUGGUAUAAACUUCUGUGUCUUAUUUUCUUUCUAUUUUACUUUUUAAAAAAUCCAGAGAAUGAUUCAAAAUACAGAAAUCAUCAUUCAUGAUAAUUUUCUCAAAUAUGAGAAUUCACUGGAUGGUAAAAGUUGGAGGAAUCCGUGACUCUCAGAGAGUCCCAUGAGUAGAGGAAAUACCUCAAUCAGUUGUUUUUAGCAUCUCUUGGGUCAUAGAUCUAUUUGAAACUCUUUUUAGAAAAAAAUGCAUAGACAUGCUUACACAAUUUUGCAUUUGUUUUUAGGGGGUUUCCUAUAUAUUGCCUCUAUAAUGUGUGUAGACCCAAGUUACAAGUAGUUGAUCUAAAUGGAUCCUCAGUUGAUCUAAAUGAAUGUUGUAUUUUAUUUUAGUGAGGGAUACUUUUCUUAGAAAACGCUGAUGUGAGGGAGCACAAAUGAGCACACUAGAAAGAAUAUCAUUAUUUUAGUUAACAAUGAGGAGCUAGAGCUUCCUCAACGGACUCAUGCUUUUCAUUUUUGUCAUUAACAGGAUCUAAAUCCAAUACUUCACUGGGCAAGAACGUGAACUUUCAAUCUUAUAACUGGGAGCACUGUGAGAGUGACUUUGUCAGCUGCGCAGCUCUGAAGUAUCAAUUUCAACCGAAGCAUCUUGGAACAGUUCACUGUGAAAAAUGUGACCAAGAAGUUCUGAGGGAGGAGCUCCAAGAUCACAGUGAGGUUGGCUCUUACACAAAGGGGACAGAUACCUGAGGACGCUCUCAGAUUGACAUAGUGUUUGCCAGUGUGAACAAUUGCAAGAGAAGAGUUGGAUGCUCUGAGAAAAAACUUGAAGCAAACUUCACAUGGAAACAGGUCUGGGCGAAUGUGUUUCUGUGAAAUAUUUUAUUCCACAGGUGGAAAAGACUGUUAAAGAAAACUCUUAGCUUGGCACAAAAGCGCAUUAUCGAGUAAUAAUUACUUGUGUAUGCUAACGCUAAAUUCUUGGGAGAAAACUUGGAGAGAUUGCCCUCGGGGCAUUUUUUUAAGACUUCUACUAAACUUUUGAUGAAAUUUCAUGAAUUUGAGAUCCUAUGAUUUAAAGGCUAAUUAUGUGUUCUCCAAUGCACCUUUAUUUAAUUUCCAUCCCUUUAGCUGAAAUCUGACUCUGAGGAAUGCAAACAGGAAGGGGUGGGAAAGGUGGCUCCAAGUACUGAAGAGUCUUUGAGGCACAGUUGUCUGACAAACACUUCCUUUAACAAUGUCCUCGGGUCUCUUGCCGAUGUGGGUUUGCUGACAUUACACACAAUAUCUCUUUGCUCCAAAUGUUGAA
This 1428-nucleotide long non-coding RNA is filed under the name Callithrix jacchus (white-tufted-ear marmoset). RNAcentral's name for it is "lncRNA (ENSCJAG00000071682.1)". The record is from RNAcentral. Lineage: Eukaryota; Metazoa; Chordata; Mammalia; Primates; Cebidae.